UCCGAGAUCUUCCCACUGGGGAGGAAUCAAAGAGCGAGCUCCGAGAUCUUCCCACUGGGGAGGAAUCAAAGAGCGAGCGAGAGAGCUCGAGUCGCAAGCUCAGCCCACCCUCCACCGAGAGACUUCGGGGAAGGCAGGCGGCAAGCGACUUCGAGAAGGUCAGAUCCGGCCGGUGGAGGCUCGGAUCUGACCUGAGUGAGAGAAGAUUGAGGCCGAGGGUAGGGUUUCGCGAGAUCUGCGCCUCAGAUCUGGUUUUUUUGCUGUUGCUAUUGCUGCCGAACGCUGUGCCGAGCCGAGCACUCCCGACCACCCCAACGCCGUCGCUACGACUGAUUCGUCCAAAAGCC
Molecule: long non-coding RNA, 347 nt
Filed under: Eucalyptus grandis
Lineage: Eukaryota; Viridiplantae; Streptophyta; Magnoliopsida; Myrtales; Myrtaceae
Description: long non-coding RNA (EGRA_LNC003997)
Source: RNAcentral